This 250-nucleotide ribosomal RNA is filed under the name uncultured bacterium. Its description in RNAcentral is "partial 16S ribosomal RNA". It matches the Rfam family "Bacterial small subunit ribosomal RNA", at positions 524 to 773 of the family's 1533-position model. The record is from RNAcentral.
UACGUAGGUGGCGAGCGUUGUCCGGAAUUACUGGGUGUAAAGGGAGCGUAGGCGGUUUGACAAGUUGAGUGUGAAAUCUACCGGCUUAACUGGUAGGCUGCGCUCAAAACUGUCAGACUUGAGUGAAGUAGAGGUAGGCGGAAUUCCCGGUGUAGCGGUGGAAUGCGUAGAUAUCGGGAGGAACACCAGUGGCGAAGGCGGCCUACUGGGCUUUUACUGACGCUGAUGCUCGAAAGUAUGGGGAGCAAAC